UGCAAGUCGAACGAACUUCCGUUAAUUGAUUAUGACGUACUUGUACUGAUUGAGAUUUUAACACGAAGUGAGUGGCGAACGGGUGAGUAACACGUGGGUAACCUGCCCAGAAGUAGGGGAUAACACCUGGAAACAGAUGCUAAUACCGUAUAACAGAGAAAACCGCAUGGUUUUCUUUUAAAAGAUGGCUCUGCUAUCACUUCUGGAUGGACCCGCGGCGUAUUAGCUAGUUGGUGAGGUAAAGGCUCACCAAGGCAGUGAUACGUAGCCGACCUGAGAGGGUAAUCGGCCACAUUGGGACUGAGACACGGCCCAGACUCCUACGGGAGGCAGCAGUAGGGAAUCUUCCACAAUGGACGCAAGUCUGAUGGAGCAACGCCGCGUGAGUGAAGAAGGGUUUCGGCUCGUAAAGCUCUGUUGUUAAAGAAGAACGUGGGUAAGAGUAACUGUUUACCCAGUGACGGUAUUUAACCAGAAAGCCACGGCUAACUACGUGCCAGCAGCCGCGGUAAUACGUAGGUGGCAAGCGUUAUCCGGAUUUAUUGGGCGUAAAGCGAGCGCAGGCGGUCUUUUAAGUCUAAUGUGAAAGCCUUCGGCUCAACCGAAGAAGUGCAUUGGAAACUGGGAGACUUGAGUGCAGAAGAGGACAGUGGAACUCCAUGUGUAGCGGUGAAAUGCGUAGAUAUAUGGAAGAACACCAGUGGCGAAGGCGGCUGUCUGGUCUGCAACUGACGCUGAGGCUCGAAAG
RNAcentral lists this ribosomal RNA (748 nucleotides) under Pediococcus pentosaceus. Its description in RNAcentral is "bacterial SSU rRNA". It matches the Rfam family "Bacterial small subunit ribosomal RNA", at positions 56 to 759 of the family's 1533-position model. Lineage: Bacteria; Bacillati; Bacillota; Bacilli; Lactobacillales; Lactobacillaceae. The record is from RNAcentral.